AUUUGAUGAUGGGGGCAAUUGGCACACAACUUCUUGAAACGCUCCUAGUAUUCAUGUAAAGACUCUCUGUUGUCCUAUUUUACACCACAAAUCUCCUUCUGAAUGU
RNAcentral lists this small nucleolar RNA (106 nucleotides) under Olea europaea subsp. europaea. The record is from RNAcentral. Lineage: Eukaryota; Viridiplantae; Streptophyta; Magnoliopsida; Lamiales; Oleaceae.